UGGAUUGUUGUUUCUGUGUUUCGAAAAUAUAAAUAUCUUGAUAAUGGAUCAAUCUUACUAUGGUUUGACAGGGAUUGCCGGGUCUAAUUUUUUUUUUUCUCCUCCUGAACGUGUUUGACGUUUAUUGAGGUAUAAACGGGGAUAAACUCCCUUUGUCGUGGCUCCAAACAGGGACAAAUUCUAAUGCUAAUCCCUCUCAAACUAUCCUAGGCGGC
This 215-nucleotide long non-coding RNA is filed under the name Elaeis guineensis (African oil palm). RNAcentral's name for it is "long non-coding RNA (EGUI_LNC021072)". Lineage: Eukaryota; Viridiplantae; Streptophyta; Magnoliopsida; Arecales; Arecaceae. The record is from RNAcentral.